This is a small nuclear RNA of Otolemur garnettii (small-eared galago), 129 nucleotides long. The record is from Ensembl. Lineage: Eukaryota; Metazoa; Chordata; Mammalia; Primates; Galagidae.
GUGUUGUAUGAAAGAGAGAACGUUAGCACUCCCCUUGACAAGGGUGGCAGAAGCCCUCGGGCCUGACAACAUGUAUUUGGUUAAGGCAUUGCCACAUUGCUACUUAGUGGCAUCUAACCAUUGUUUUUC